RNAcentral lists this transfer RNA (85 nucleotides) under Paracoccaceae bacterium. RNAcentral describes it as "Rhodobacteraceae bacterium (microbial mat metagenome) tRNA-Leu". It matches the Rfam family "tRNA". Rfam says of the family: Transfer RNA (tRNA) molecules are approximately 80 nucleotides in length. The record is from RNAcentral. Lineage: Bacteria; Pseudomonadati; Pseudomonadota; Alphaproteobacteria; Rhodobacterales; Paracoccaceae.
GCGGGUGUGGCGGAAUUGGCAGACGCACCAGAUUUAGGUUCUGGCGCCCAAAAGGCGUGGGGUUCAAGUCCCUCCACCCGCACCA